UUUUUCUUUCACAAAAACAAAAGAAAAUUAAUUAAUUUUUCCUUUUUUUCUUCCACGGGGCCUUGACCUAGUUUCCCAAAAUUGGGAACCCAAGUUCAGUUCAUUUCUACUCCACGGGAAUUGCUUCAAGAGAUACGUAUGAGGGGGGAAUCGGCCCCCAAAAUUGAGAACCAAACUUCAAUUCAGUUCAGAUAGACGUCUUCCGUUCUCGGAUUGCUUUAAGUCUUACCAAAGAAACAGCCAAGCCAAAAACUCCAAAUUACCCAAGUCCUGCAUCAAGUAUGGCCCUGAAGGUAAUCUUUUUUUCCCCCUUCUUUUUUUUUCUAUCCAAUUCUGUGGUAAGUGUUUUCGGAGCAAUGGAUGAAUUGGGACUUGGGUUUCAAGGUACCGUUGUGGAGGAGAAGAAGAAGAAGAGGUCCAUAUGAUAUUAUGACUACUAUCCCAGGAGAGCAUGGUCGGACCAUGAAUUAACGGAGGAUGAUGUUCCUCUCUUCAUGAUCAUGCGACGUAUCGUCAUAGAUCUGGUAUUCGUAAUCGUGCUAAUUAUGUGUCAUAUAACAGAGACUUAAAUUGAAGAAAGUUAGCUGAAGGCGUGUUUCCAUGGAGGAAGUUGUGAAAAGUGGUGAAGAGGCGCAGCAGAAGGUGUGGAAUCAGAAUCAUGCCUUUACUAAAAAUCAACUCAAGAAAUGCGAGUUCAGCAGCAAGUGGUCCUGCAACUGAAUUUGGCACAAGAAGGCCACGUGUCCAAGUUGGAUUGGUAGUGCUGAGGAGUUAGUUAUUAGUCCCAUUUUAUGUAGGAAAGAUUUGGGUGAUGGCAUGGGAGAAUGCUUUUGUAAUCGAACAGAUUGGGACCAUUCUCAAUUUCUUUUCCCUUUCCCCAAGUUUCCUUCUCUUUUCUUGUUCAUCUUUUGUAUCUCUUCCCGCCAUAUCUUGUAAACUCAUUAGCCAUUAUCAAUAUAUCAACAUUGAGCUGGUUUCUGAUUAUUUCUCAUUUUUGUUAAAUUCUAAGAAAGAAUCUAUGUUAUUCUUGCUGUCGGUUUACUCCCAUAUCCAUAGUCUUGCUCGAUACCAUCACAGUGGUAUCA
Molecule: long non-coding RNA, 1085 nt
Filed under: Coffea arabica (coffee)
Lineage: Eukaryota; Viridiplantae; Streptophyta; Magnoliopsida; Gentianales; Rubiaceae
Description: long non-coding RNA (CARA_LNC006210)
Source: RNAcentral